CUUUACUCGUCAGACGGCUCUGUUGUUGUUGUGGGAGCUCAACUGAGAAGAUUUGCUUUACAAGACGAAGAGAAAAAACAUGAAUAUGACAAACUACUUUACAAGAAAAGACGGAUUUGUAACAGUCAACAUUUCAGUUAGAGGAGGAAAAUCCUGAGCAUCUGAAACAUCUUUACCUGACUGAAAAGAAACGAUUAGAUGAAGAAGAGGAGAGAAAGCAGAAGAGAUGGAAAGAGAGAGCAGUGGAUGAAGAGAAGAAACUCAAACACAACACCUGACAUCUCUGCUGACCAAACUCAUUCAUGUCAUGAAACAAAAAUCACAACACAAUCUCAAAGAUAAACCUCACAAAAUUAUGACUGUUUAUUAUCAUCUGUCUAUCAUUUGUAUUAUUUUAAAAUUGUGUUUUGUGUUUUAUCAUUGUGUAGCUUUAUUGAAUGAACACAUAGAAGAUAAUGAGAAGAUAAAGGAGGAGCUGAGAGGAUAAAGAGAGGAAUUCAAGACAAAACUCCAAGAAGAGUGAACUCGAGCUCAAUCUACAGAUGGAUCUGUUACUGCAGAAGAUCCAAACUCAACACAAAUCAUUCAAUAACAGUAAGACUCAAAACCCUCAGGUUUAAAUUGUUUAAAACAUUGAUGUUAAAAUGCACCUUCACACAAGAAACUGUGCUGUUUAGACGGCCGUUUAAAUAAAACCACAUUUGUGUACAGUAUGAUGCUCUCUGAUAUUUUAUUUAUACUCUUGUCCAAACAGCCAUAAAAAUCAAAGUACAUUUGUAACUUCUCUCUAAAAGCAAAGCAUUUGAUAUUCAAUAAAAAACCUAUUUGAAAUAUCAAUAAAACAUCAGGCACUGUAGCUUUCGUAGCAAAAUUUGAUCACUUUGAUAUGAUUUUAAGCCUUAAUAUGAUUUCAUGACAUGAGACAGUGGGUGUGGGUAUUGAGUCACACAGUCCCUCCCACUUUGUUUGGCUCCUCCCCCACAUCAUCAUAA
Non-coding RNA from Paramisgurnus dabryanus, 992 nucleotides. The record is from RefSeq and is a predicted model, not a curated record. Lineage: Eukaryota; Metazoa; Chordata; Actinopteri; Cypriniformes; Cobitidae.